AAUCACACCAGUGUGAUUAGACCUUUCAGUGUGUUACAUGAUCAGACACUAAACUGAAAUCUUCUUUCCCAUGAUGUCUCGCACUGAACCAGAGAAAGACAUAUGCAGUGCUUGUCAGAAGUCACAAUUUAUCAGUGUUUUCAAACUAAUAUUAUUUGGGUUCAGACAUUUCAAUACACAUAUAAUAAAUUGCACAAAGAUCAUGUUUAUGGUUUGUAAAAUAUAUGCUGAUGUCUAUAGAGAUGACAAAAAUAAUUAUUUUAGACAUAACAAGACGUUCAGAAUGAACUGCCUGCCCAUCACCCAUCAUAGAUAAAAUAAUAAUACUAUCAUUAAUAAACCAUUUAAAGGACCAUACACAUGUUCCUACACAUAUCUGACAAUCAUAGUAUCAGAUAUUUCACAACAUAAUUAGGACAUUUGUCAAUAUUUGGAGCAUAGGUGAAAAGAAACUAAAUAUGAUAAAUGCAUAGAUAAUUGAGGCUUUAUUGUAACAUCAAAAAGAAGAUAUGUCAACAGGGGUCUCAAACUCAAUUUACCUGGGGGCCGCAGGAGGCAAAGUCUGGGUGAGGCUGGGCCGCAUAAGGUAUUUCACAAAAAAAAA
RNAcentral lists this long non-coding RNA (604 nucleotides) under Danio rerio (zebrafish). Its description in RNAcentral is "lncRNA si:ch73-55c21.1 (ENSDARG00000101412.2)". Lineage: Eukaryota; Metazoa; Chordata; Actinopteri; Cypriniformes; Danionidae. The record is from RNAcentral.